GAUGAACGCUAGCUACAGGCUUAACACAUGCAAGUCGAGGGGUAACGAGAGGGAAGCUUGCUUUCCUUGUCGACGACCGGCGCACGGGUGAGUAACGCGUAUCCAACCUGCCCCCAACUAAGGAAUAACCUUGCGGAAGUAAGACUAAUACCCUAUAAUUUCCUCAGAUGACAUCUGACGAGGAAUAAAGAUUUAUCGGUUGUGGAUGGGGAUGCGUCUGAUUAGCUUGUUGGCGGGGUAACGGCCCACCAAGGCAACGAUCAGUAGGGGUUCUGAGAGGAAGGUCCCCCACAUUGGAACUGAGACACGGUCCAAACUCCUACGGGUGGCAGCAGUGAGGAAUAUUGGUCAAUGGGCGGAAGCCUGAACCAGCCAAGUAGCGUGCAGGAUGACGGCCCUAUGGGUUGUAAACUGCUUUUAUACAGGAAUAAAGUUAGCCACGUGUGGUUAUUUGUAGGUACUGUAUGAAUAAGGACCGGCUAAUUCCGUGCCAGCCGCCGCCGUAA
RNAcentral lists this ribosomal RNA (506 nucleotides) under uncultured bacterium. RNAcentral describes it as "partial 16S ribosomal RNA". It matches the Rfam family "Bacterial small subunit ribosomal RNA", at positions 28 to 523 of the family's 1533-position model. The record is from RNAcentral.